UGGGGAAUCUUAGACAAUGGGCGCAAGCCUGAUCUAGCCAUGCCGCGUGGGUGAUGAAGGCCUUAGGGUCGUAAAGCCCUUUCGCCGGGGAAGAUAAUGACGGUACCCGGUAAAGAAACCCCGGCUAACUCCGUGCCAGCAGCCGCGGUAAUACGGAGGGGGUUAGCGUUGUUCGGAAUGACUGGGCGUAAAGCGCGCGUAGGCGGAUCGGAAAGUUGGGGGUGAAAUCCCGGGGCUCAACCCCGGAAUGGCCUUCAAAACUCCCGGUCUUGAGGUCGAGAGAGGUGAGUGGAAUUCCGAGUGUAGAGGUGAAAUUCGUAGAUAUUCGGAGGAACACCAGUGGCGAAGGCGGCUCACUGGCUCGAUACUGACGCUGAGGUGCGAAAGCGUGGGGAGCAAACA
This 402-nucleotide ribosomal RNA is filed under the name uncultured Rubellimicrobium sp. RNAcentral describes it as "bacterial SSU rRNA". It matches the Rfam family "Bacterial small subunit ribosomal RNA", at positions 355 to 774 of the family's 1533-position model. Lineage: Bacteria; Pseudomonadati; Pseudomonadota; Alphaproteobacteria; Rhodobacterales; Roseobacteraceae. The record is from RNAcentral.